Molecule: long non-coding RNA, 2238 nt
Filed under: Marmota monax (woodchuck)
Lineage: Eukaryota; Metazoa; Chordata; Mammalia; Rodentia; Sciuridae
Rfam family: tRNA (bases 1355-1414)
Source: RNAcentral
GAAAACCAAUGGUCUGUCCCAGUCCAAAGCCUGAGAACAAGAGGAGUGUAAGUAACAACUCCCAGUCCUAGCCCAAAGGCUUGAGGAUCUGGGUCCAAGAGGGGAUGGAGAUGGUAGUGUUAAGUCCCAGAACUUCAGUGGGCCAAGAAGCAGGAGCUCUUAUGUUUGAGGGCAGGAAAAUAUGGAUGUCCCAGUUCAAGAAGAGAGUAAAUCCACCGGUACUCCACCUUUUCUUCAGUUCAGGCCCUUGGUGGACUGGAGGGUGCCCACUCACACUGGCCAGGGCUAUCUUCUUUACUCCCAUUCAAAUGCUAAUCUCUUCCUGAAACACUUUCAUAGACAUUUCCAGAAACAAUGUGUUACCAGCUAUUUAUCUGGGUAUCUCUUAGCCCAGUAAAGUUAUUUCAUUAAAACUAACCAUUAUAGAUCCUUAGCAAAUAUAAUUAACAAACAAGCAGAUUACUCAACAGAGGCCUCAAUUCCCACGUCUAUAAGAGAAGUAUAAAAACAGCCAUUGCCCUAGACUGUGGAAAGGAUUAAAUAAGAUAUGUAUGUCAAGUGCCUGGUACUUAGUGGUCACGUAGGAAAAGCAGCUACUGUCAUGAUGAUUAUUUUUGUUCAUAUAGCUCCAUUUUUAGUUUGUUCAGACAGUUGAACAUAUUAUAAUUUACAUUAUAAUAAUAAAUGUUAUCCUCAGCAGACACGAACCUGUGGAUCCAAGUAGUACCUGUUGCAGCUGGGAAGUCAUUGCAGGAUCUUGGUCCAGUGUUUGGCAACAGUUUGAUCUGAAGAUGGCAGUUUGGGUGAUUUGGAGCAGCCUCAGCCUGCUGCGACUGCUAUGGUGUCUUCUUCCGCAGACGGGCUACGUGCACCCGGAUGAGUUCUUCCAGUCACCAGAAGUCAUGGCAGGUAAAGUUCUCAUGUGGUUAAGACAAGCAGCAGCUGAGUGGCUGAGAGGCUGAUCGGCUAUUUAGUGGGGAAAGGAAAGCACGUCUGUACAGGCUUGUACAGUAACUCCACAAGCAAAGCUGUUUUAGCCUCUCUGGGACAACAGCUUGGGAGUGGGGACUCACAUCUUCUUCCUGAGUGGCAACACUGACCUUCUGGAUGAUACUGAUGAAACACCAGCCUCUUUGAUGUUUUCCUGCUUGGACCAACAGGUCAUUCAGAAUGAAAGCUAUGAUGGACUCCUUAACGGAAGGAUGAGAGUUGGGCUUUCCCAGUGUCUGGGGAAGCUUACACAGAGUUGUGAUCCGAGAAUAUGAAAAAUUUCCCACUGUAGUUCAAGGAAGGAGAGAGGGAACCCAGACAUGGGAUACUCACUUGUUAGAACUUAUCCACUAGGGGCUGGGGAUGUAGCUCAGUGGUAGAGCACUUGCCUAGUAUGUGUGAAGCCCUGGGUUCUAUCCCAGCACUGCAGAAAACAAACAAAACCAAAAUCUACUAGGUGGUGAAAGGUAUAUCAAGAGGAUGGUUGCCAGGGUCUAUGAGGACUUUUGGAUGCUAUCAGUGUGUGACUUCCUCCUCAUGGUUCAAGACGGAACUUUCAAAUCUAAAACUGUCUUUCUAGCAAACAGGAAAUGGACAUGCCUACUCCCUCUAAGGUCACAUUUUGUAAAUCAUAUGCUUUUUGUCCAUUUCCAUCCCACUGGUCAGACACUUGACUACACUUAGUUGCAAAGGAAGCUAGGAAACAAAGUUUUUGUAUCUGAUUAAGUGUUCAGCUAAAGACACUAAGACAGGAAGGGGGAUUUGCUAUCUCUGCCACAUGAAUCAGUAGGUAGAUUUGGAUUUUAAAUUGAAAAUUUUGGUCUUAUGUCCUAAGUGUUUUUUUAAACCUGAAUUGUAUACAGCAGCUGGAUUGACUUGACGCUAGAUUUUCUGUUUCCCUUUCACCUUCUGAUAUAGAUCAAAUGGCCAAAAGACUGGAGGAAUAAGUAGCAGAAGCAAAGAGCCUGAAUGAUCCCCAGGCCAUAUAAUCAGCUCUAACAGCCAGCAAGGUUAUCAAGCAUGAAAUGCUAUGGACAGUGGGGUUUGGACUAGAGAUGCAGAAAUUAAAAUUUGUUCCCUUACCCCAAACAAUGAGCUAUGGAACACUGGGGAACAGGGUCACAGAUCAACCUCAAGCAGCAAGUAUUUUUGAAAUUAUAUAAAUACUGCUUGAAUUCCUUUUUCUUGUAAAAAUUUAAGUAUCAUAAACAAAACUAAGAUUAUAUUUUUCCAUAACCCUUAUUGUCU